AUACGGAGGAUGCGAGCGUUAUCCGGAUUUAUUGGGUUUAAAGGGUGCGUAGGCGGCCUUGUAAGUCAGCGGUGAAAUUUUGCAGCUUAACUGUAAAAGUGCCGUUGAUACUGUGAGGCUAGGAUUUGGUUGCUGUGGGUGGAAUGUGUGGUGUAGCGGUGAAAUGCUUAGAGAUCACACAGAAUAUCGAUUGCGAAGGCAGCUCACAAAGCCAAGAUUGACGCUGAGGCACGAAAGUGUGGGGAUCAAACAGGAUUAGAUACCCUGGUAGUCCACGCAGUAAACGAUGAUGGCUAACCGCUGGGCUUAUCAGUUCAGUGGCCAAGCGAAAGCGAUAAGCCAUCCACCUGGGGAGUACGACCGCAAGGUUGAAACUCAAAGGAAUUGACGGGG
RNAcentral lists this ribosomal RNA (393 nucleotides) under uncultured bacterium. Its description in RNAcentral is "partial 16S ribosomal RNA". It matches the Rfam family "Bacterial small subunit ribosomal RNA", at positions 523 to 918 of the family's 1533-position model. The record is from RNAcentral.